This 255-nucleotide ribosomal RNA is filed under the name uncultured bacterium. RNAcentral's name for it is "partial 16S ribosomal RNA". It matches the Rfam family "Bacterial small subunit ribosomal RNA", at positions 524 to 776 of the family's 1533-position model. The record is from RNAcentral.
UACGUAGGGGGCAAGCGUUGUCCGGAUUUAUUGGGCGUAAAGAGCGUGUAGGCGGCCACACAGGUCUGCUGUGAAAACUCGAGGCUCAACCUCGAGCUGUCGGUGGAAACCGUGUGGCUAGAGUCCGGAAGAGGAGAGUGGAAUUCCCGGUGUAGCGGUGAAAUGCGCAGAUAUCGGGAAGAACACCCGUGGCGAAGGCGGCUCUCUGGGACGGUACUGACGCUGAGACGCGAAAAGCGUGGGGGAGCGAACAGG